GAAGAUGGUGCAAGACAAGGAGGACUGCGUGCUUAUGGGGUGAGUGCUGCAAAGGACUGCAUCAGGGAGCUGAUGCCUUGAGUAGCAGGAGAAGAUCGGUUAAGCAAGCACGUGUGCACCCGCAUGUGUCGGUUUGCCCCCCCGCUGUGCCAUUUUCCGCCUUCUGUGACUCAUUUCCGCAGACCGCACAUCUGUGGCCUCCCUGGUGUGUUGGCGCGAACUUCGUUCCAUCUGCCUGCGCUGCUCCUAAACCCCGUAAUGUCUAUCGUUCCUAAUCUGUUGCCCGUUCGUCACAGGGACCUGUCAUGGCGCGCAAGCUGAACGAGUGCCUGGAGCGGCGGUCUUCAGCCCCCGGUGGUCAGCUCUGCGCCAUGCGCCCACUUACGACUGCCAUGUGUGUAGAGCAGCUGCUCUGAGCAUCACAUAGGCAGGAGUGCCAAGCUAAGCCUGCCUGCCUAAGCCAGACCGUGCAGCUGUGUGUGGAUUUGGCGAUCUAGCUCUUAGGACUUUACAUUGUCAAGCAACAUUAAAAAACAGGGACAUAUGUUGCAGGAUUGCGCACGUCGCAGCUCUGUUGUUAGCUAUUGCUCAUAUUGGCGGCGUAUUGCUGGCUCUUAUUUUAGCAUUUCCAUUUAUCCGUUACUGUACAAUAUGGAACAGGCAAUCACGUGCUGUUGAACGGCAGAGAGCAGCCUUUUUGCGUGUUGCCAUCGUUGUGCUUAUCUAGACAGAAUAAGGGUGUCGACAUCGGUCACCCCUGGUGUUGCUUGCUUCUGUUGCCUGUUGUGCAGUGGUAGUGGCGCCAAUGCCAGGGGGCGGCCUUCCCCUGCUGGCGAGCGCAAUUUCCUGUCGAGAAGAAAAGGGGUGCUUGGUUGCCCGUAUAGUUAGUUGUUGGCGGCGUAUGAUGUCAUUACAUAGUUGCGCGGUGUCAACAGCUGCUGGCGAGGAGCCGUGUCAAGGGUCCUUUGCAUGGCAAAUGGUAGCACCGACCUCGUUUGCGUAUGCGUCUCGUUGGGGAGCCCCGUGAACGUACGUAGGUCGCACAACUGUAGGAAUGAGUGUCUUUCAUGAGGUUGUGCAUUGCCUCCUGACACCCAGCUAUCGCUCGGAAAUCUGAUAUAUGUACACGCGUCGUGCUAUUUACGCAUCCUGUGUAAAACUGUGCAUUGAACGAUGGAAUGAUUCAUUCGGUGAUCACCUCGCCGAGUUUUGACUCGCCAAAAGAAGGUUGGGUUGGGUUCACACUUUACCUGUUUACCUUUACCCCGUUUGACCCACAAAUCAGCAGAAAAAGGAGCAGCAGUCAAAAAUGGUGUCAUAAUUGGCGUGAUCCGGAUGGGCUGGUCCCUCGGGGAACUUACGAAUGCGCAAGAGGAUGAGGAUGAGGACGAAUGGCCCAACAUGGCACGUCCAAACGCAAUGCCGGCUCAACUUGUUGCCGUUAGUUUACAAGUGCCGCACGAGUGCGGGGGUGUCCGUCCGUGAAAGACCGGGGGCCAUGGAUUAUAUAUAUUGAAAGAUAGUUCCUCGGUACGACCGAUGGCGGUUUGGGUCUUUUUGCCACCGCUACCUCUCCUCAUCCAGUCACCCGACAUCCGUAGAGACAGGCCAGCCAUCAACACCAUGCCACUCCAGCAUGCGAAAUUUGGUACAUCAACUAGACCUCAUCUCCACACCCCAGUAGCAAUCCGUAAACCUGCUACUCUCGAACAAUGUCCGGGAUCUACCCAGGAAUCGAACCUAGUUAUUGCGGCUAUGAAGGGAGUUUUGAAGGGCUGCAGUGAUGAUCCGCGAGCAGUGCGGUGAAGGCGCAAUGGAAAAGUGAGGGGCGUCGAGGGAGACCCUCCCGGUUAGUUGGUGACGAUACAAGCUGGUGCGAAUGCAUUUUGAGGCCCUUUACAACGUUGAGAUCAAUGCAUUUAGUGAUCCUAGCGUGAGCGCCAUUUCCAAUUUGAUUAAUGGGGUGGGAGGAGGUGAGAGUAGCGCCUUGAACACGCAUAUGAACACACAACCUCUCACACACACCCACAAACGGAGGCCGGUGGACUGCCCAACCACAAGUUAGCCCGGUUAAGAAGGUCUCAGGAAACUCUCGUUCGUUCUGCAGAGCCUCACGAAGAGACAAAGCUACAGUACAGUCCCAGAAAUGAUGCCGACGAUCCCACCAUAGCAGGCAGCCGGGAAUUAAGAUGUGUCGGUACGAGCAGUGGAUGGGGCCCUCGUAACAUACGGUGGGCUAAUCCCGCCAACUCGACAUGUAACUCUCAUGCGGUUUAGGAUGUGUGUUUCGGAGCUAUCGGUUAACAGGCUGCAUGAACGGGCUAGGGAGCACAGACGUGCAACAACAAUAGCACUGUGGAAGACGAGAAACAGGCUGACGCUAGGCAGGCCAUUGGAGAGUUGGGGGUUCCACUGAGCACGAGCAGCUGGACACCAUACAAGGGAAGACCAGCGCAGAUUAGGGAAAGCGAAAAAAAGCAUGUUCUGCGCAAAACGCAGCUUAAAGCGCUAGCGCUUUCUUGCUUGUGGCGGACUGUUCGGCUACUCAGUUGUGUAUCAAACAAAAACAAACUAUCUGAGUCGGCUUUCGGCGACGUUUAUGUUAGUGCUUUGUUAAUGAUUAUUUGAUGUUAUGUUAAUGUUUCGUUAGGUAUUCGUCUUUGCCAGUCCAAGGCGGCCCGUGAGCCUCCGGGUUGACCGAAGCUUGUAAAUCACCACCAAAUCAUCAUCAAGUCAAAGAAGGAUGCCGAAUAAAAUCUAAACUUACUUUUAAUUUAAAUUACUUCUUACACAUUUGAAGUUGUCAAUGCUACUGAGAUUGCGCUGUCCAGUGCAUGCCAUGCACCUGCGGAAGACUUUGUAAUUAGAUCAUGGGCAGAGCUAUCUAGGACAUUCUGGUACUGAAAUAUAUUUUAGAAUGUUAACAAUGCGUUCAGCACGCUUCACGGAGCUUUCACGGCUACUUCACGGCUAUCUACCCGUGAAAAAUCCGUUUCCGUACCACAAAUGCCUAAGUAAAUGGUGUUUCCCCACCAAUGUCGGCACAAACCUACUGCGUGCAUAGCAAGGUUAAUCUCUUACUUCAUUUCCAAAAAAACCGAGGGCCUUCGUACACCUUACCAGCGAUUACAUCCCAACCGUAUCGCACGACAUUAAAUUUGUUAUCCUGACGUGCACAUUUAACCAUGGGAUUUCGCUUCUUGGCAAAGAUCGUCCUGUUCGCUGCUGUCCUUGCGGCAGUUACCGGCAGCGCCGCUGCAGGCCCACUAGCCUACGGUAUCUGCCAGUCGGGAUGCAAUGCCAUAGCCGUAGCGUGCUAUGCAUCGGCAGGGCUUACUUUUGGCGCCGUAACUGCGGGUAGGUGUGGUGGAGAUGCGGAGCUGUGAAAAUGAAUGCAUGGUGGAGGGAACUCGUAGUCAUGAAAUGCCUCCGGUCACUGCUACAUGUUACACCUAGAUGGACAAUCUUUGGUUGCUGAUCCUAACUCCCGAACACCGUGUAUUGCUCGCUGCGUGCUGCACUGAAUGCUUAUAGGCUUUGGCGCCCCGGCGGCAGCCGUUGCCUGUAACCUGGCACUGGGAAAGUGCAUGGCGUGCUGUAUCGCGGCUGGCUUUGCGCCCACUUUUUGAAGAUGGUGCAAGACAAGGAGGACUGCGUGCUUAUGGGGUGAGUGCUGCAAAGGACUGCAUCAGGGAGCUGAUGCCUUGAGUAGCAGGAGAAGAUCGGUUAAGCAAGCACGUGUGCACCCGCAUGUGUCGGUUUGCCCCCCCGCUGUGCCAUUUUCCGCCUUCUGUGACUCAUUUCCGCAGACCGCACAUCUGUGGCCUCCCUGGUGUGUUGGCGCGAACUUCGUUCCAUCUGCCUGCGCUGCUCCUAAACCCCGUAAUGUCUAUCGUUCCUAAUCUGUUGCCCGUUCGUCACAGGGACCUGUCAUGGCGCGCAAGCUGAACGAGUGCCUGGAGUGGCGGUCUUCAGCCCCCGGUGCCAAGCUAAGCCUGCCUGCCUAAGCCAGACCGUGCAACUGUGCGCGGAACAUUGGAAAACAGGGACAUAUGUUGCAGGAUCGCGCACGUCGCAGCUCUGUUGUUACCUAUUGCUCAUAUUGGCGGCGUAUUGCUGGCUCUUAUUUUAGCAUUUCCAUUAUC
RNAcentral lists this long non-coding RNA (4145 nucleotides) under Volvox carteri. RNAcentral's name for it is "long non-coding RNA (VCAR_LNC004231)". Lineage: Eukaryota; Viridiplantae; Chlorophyta; Chlorophyceae; Chlamydomonadales; Volvocaceae. The record is from RNAcentral.